ACGUCUCAGUUGACAUUUCUAUAAACUAAAGAAGAGUUAAGCUAAAAUCAUUCAAACCAAGUACACAGUAAAACUAUUUGGAAAUAAGUAAUUUGCUUUAUCAAUAAGUUCUGAAUCUGCACACUGUUGAUUUCUUCCGGUACACCUGUACUUGAUGCUGGAUUUUCUGACUCUAGCUAUUAUACCUCAAGACAACAAAUGAUAAACAUGGAAUGUAUUUGAACAAAGAGGACACGGAACUCGGUAAAAAGUUCCCAACAGAACAGUGCAGUACAAUCUAAAUAAACUUUUUCAGUAUAUACAACCAUAUAUUUUUCAGUAGAGGGAUAGGAAGCGCUCGAGAAGCACCUUACAAGCAUUUAUUUUGCAUGGCGAUAACUCUUUCCAAAUUGUUCAACUUGAAAUCUUCCUUCCAUAGGUGCAAAACCAAAAAUCAUCCCACCUAAAUUGUAAAGGAAACAGAAACGCAGUCAAUUUCUUGUUAAUCGUACUGUUAUUUUACAGGACUCAUAUGCAUUGUGUCGUGUCUUCAAGAAAAAUGUGGCACUCGGAGAGUUCCAGAAGCAAAAGCAAGGCGAGUGCAGCUCAUCACAAGCUAAUGAAAAACAAGAACAGUUUACAAGUGUCAGGGAUGCUGGACAGUCAUCUGGUUCAAAUGAGCAUGGUAAAGACAACACAUGGAUGCAGUUCAUAGCUGAUGAUCUAUGGUGCAACAAAACAAAGUGAUGGAAGUAUGGAACUGAUAAGGCAGUUGUUUAACUUCAUCUAACUAGAAACCUCUCAGUUGCACAUUGACUUUGUAUAUGUUUGAUAACAUCAGUUCUCGGUUCUCACUUUGGAGUUUGGACAGGAUGACCACUAAGUUUGGGGGCUCUGACUCUUCAUGUAGAGUUAUAGUUUUCUCUUUUGGUACUGUAAUAGAAAAAACAUCCUACUUUGGUACUUCAAGGUUCGGUCUUCCUGUAUCUGUCAUUAAACACAGUGAUUUAUAGGAGGGAGUACAGUACAAAGACAUAAAUUUAAUUUGACACAUAUCAUUUAUUUACAUAUUCCUUUCAUAUGCAGUUGCAGAUAUCACUUUACAGUAAAGGUCACCAAAGUUGUCAAUCCCCUAUGACCAGUAAGCUAUACCUAGACCCAAGGAUAGUUAUUUUUAUUAGACAUACACAUUUUCUUUGCAAUUCCCUGGCACUCUACUCUAAUGAAAUAGCACAAGUGCAGAACUACUGCCAAAGUUUCAAAAAAAAAAAAAGCAUAAACAGUGGCACCACAGAAUGGAGUGUUGUACAGUUCAGAAGAAGUGAAGAACCAAUUGGUUUCGAAUCUCAAGUAUGAGUUUCUUGAUUUAGACCAGAAACAGUAUGGUAUGAGCAUGAUACUGAAUCAACAUUGCUAAUGUCUAGGGACUUCUGAGUUGUAAAUCAGUAGUACAAGAGUAGUACUAGACUGGUAGAAUAUAAUAGUUUCACUAGCACCACAGCAUCAGGAGUUUGGGUCAGCAAAGCUUCAAUACGCUAAACUGCACAAUUUUGCAUUUUCCAGAGCAUAUAGAGCUCACGUCUUCUAUGGCAAAUUCAGAAUUUAGUUUCAUAUAACAGCAAGAUUCAGUAACAUGGCCCAAGUUUUUUAUACCUUUAGUUCCAUUGCUUUGAAAUCUCAUCAUUCGUCUCUACAAAGCUUUGCUUCUGGAUGCAUUCGCUUUAUCUUGGUAUUCCAUCAGCUUGCUGGCACAGUUAAAGAAGUUUGUUUAGGUACUCUAGCUAAGAAGACAUUAUGUCAGACUGAAACCAAUUCCACAAUGGUGUCAAGCUCUCAAUGAUCAGGUUUAAGCCAAACACAACGUCAAAACUCCACUAAUUGCAUUCAUAGAAAAAAAGAACACUCUGAAACAACUGACAAACCAGAGUGUGUGAUAACCACAAAAGUUCCAUGGAUACAAAGCUGGUCUGAGCCUGACGAGUGACGAAAGCCACCCACGGGAAACAACCACCCACAAGAAGAUUAAUCCCAGCAGCUUUUCAGCAUCGAUAAAUCACUGAAACGAAAGCCAUGAUAAGGACGUGCAAAAGUUAGUGAAAUCGUUACCGAAAGAGCAGGCAAGCGAAAUCCGAGCCCUAGACUCAGAAGACAAUCCCAAUUCCCAAGCAAGGCUGCAGCUGCUACUCCUCGCGCCGCAUACCAUUGCCGUAGGAUCGGAAUCGCGGACCCAUCGAACCGACACCAAGCAGACAAGGGACUGAAGGGAGCGCCCGAGCGAUGGAGGCCGGAGCGCGUGCACCGCCUGGAGCAGACAACAGAAUCAAUGGGAUUAGGCCGGA
This 2318-nucleotide long non-coding RNA is filed under the name Sorghum bicolor (sorghum). RNAcentral's name for it is "long non-coding RNA (SBIC_LNC003737)". The record is from RNAcentral. Lineage: Eukaryota; Viridiplantae; Streptophyta; Magnoliopsida; Poales; Poaceae.